Molecule: ribosomal RNA, 489 nt
Filed under: uncultured bacterium
Lineage: Bacteria
Description: partial 16S ribosomal RNA
Rfam family: Bacterial small subunit ribosomal RNA
Source: RNAcentral
AUUGAACGCUGGCGGCAGGCCUAACACAUGCAAGUCGAACGGUAACAGGAAGCAGCUUGCUGCUUCGCUGACGAGUGGCGGACGGGUGAGUAAUGUCUGGGAAGCUGCCUGAUGAGGGGGAUAACUACGGGAAACGGUAGCUAAUACCGCAUAAUGUCGCAAGCCCAAAGAGGGGGACUUUCGGGCCUCUUGCCAUCGGAUGUGCCCAGAUGGGAUUAGCUUGUUGGUGGGGUAACGGCUCACCAAGGCGACGAUCCCUAGCUGGUCUGAGAGGAUGACCAGCCACACUGGAACUGAGACACGGUCCAGACUCCUACGGGAGGCAGCAGUGGGGAAUAUUGCACAAUGGGCGCAAGCCUGAUGCAGCCAUGCCGCGUGUAUGAAGAAGGCCUUCGGGUUGUAAAGUACUUUCAGCGGGGAGGAAGGGAGUAAAGUUAAUACCUUUGCUCAUUGACGUUACCCGCAGAAGAAGCACCGGCUAACUCCGUG